This 731-nucleotide ribosomal RNA is filed under the name Thalassiosira antarctica. Its description in RNAcentral is "partial Eukaryotic large subunit ribosomal RNA". It matches the Rfam family "Eukaryotic large subunit ribosomal RNA", at positions 1239 to 1970 of the family's 3401-position model. Lineage: Eukaryota; Bacillariophyta; Thalassiosirophyceae; Thalassiosirales; Thalassiosiraceae. The record is from RNAcentral.
AGCAGGACGGUGGCCAUGGAAGUUGGAAUCCGCUAAGGAGCGUGUAACAACUCACCUGCCGAAUGAACUAGCCCCGAAAAUGGAUGGCGCUGAAGCGCGCGGCCUAGACCCGGCCAUCAAGGCGAAGCGAGGCCUUGAUGAGUAGGAGGGCGUGGGGGCUGUGGCGAAGCGUGGGGCGCGAGCCCGCGUGAAGCAGCCUCUAGUGCAGAUCUUGGUGGUAGUAGCAAAUAUUCAAGUGAGAACCUUGAAGGCUGAAGUGGAGAAGGGUUCCAUGCGAACAGUGUUUGGACAUGGGUUAGUCGUUCCUAAGAGAUAGGGUAACGCCGUGUUAAGGAGCCCUUGUGGCUCGCCUAUCGAAAGGGAAUCGGGUUAACAUUCCCGAACCGGGAUGUGGAGAGUAAGCGGCAACGCAAAUGAACUUGAGGACGUCGGCGGGAGCCCCGGGCAAGGUUGUCUUUCUUGUUUAACGCGCCCAACGCCCUGGAAUCAGAUUAUCUGGAGAUAGGGCUUGUCGGCCGGGAAAGUACCUCGAACUGUGAGGUAUCUGGUGCGCUCUCGACGGCCCCUGAAAACUCAAGGGAACGGAUGAAUUUCACGCCCGGACGUACCCAUAACCGCAUCAGGUCUCCAAGGUGAGCAGCCUCUAGUCGAUAGAAGAAUGUAGAUAAGGGAAGUCGGCAAGAUAGAUCCGUAACUUUGGGAAAAGGAUUGGCUCUGAGGGUUGGGCGUCC